RNAcentral lists this transfer RNA (75 nucleotides) under Planomicrobium okeanokoites. RNAcentral describes it as "tRNA-Gly (GCC) (tRNA-Gly-GCC-1-1, tRNA-Gly-GCC-1-2)". It matches the Rfam family "tRNA". Rfam says of the family: Transfer RNA (tRNA) molecules are approximately 80 nucleotides in length. Their secondary structure includes four short double-helical elements and three loops (D, anti-codon, and T loops). Further hydrogen bonds mediate the characteristic L-shaped molecular structure. tRNAs have two regions of fundamental functional importance: the anti-codon, which is responsible for specific mRNA codon recognition, and the 3' end, to which the tRNAs corresponding amino acid is attached (by aminoacyl-tRNA synthetases). tRNAs cope with the degeneracy of the genetic code in two manners: having more than one tRNA (with a specific anti-codon) for a particular amino acid; and 'wobble' base-pairing, i.e. permitting non-standard base-pairing at the 3rd anti-codon position. RNAcentral also lists the same sequence under 46 other names. Lineage: Bacteria; Bacillati; Bacillota; Bacilli; Caryophanales; Caryophanaceae. The record is from RNAcentral.
GCGGAAGUAGUUCAGUGGUAGAACGCCACCUUGCCAAGGUGGAGGUCGCGGGUUCGACCCCCGUCUUCCGCUCCA